CAAUAGCGUAUAUUUAAGUUGCUGCAGUUAAAAAGCUCGUAGUUGGAUUUCGGGUGGGAAUGGCCGGUCCGCCGUUUCGGUGUGCACUUGCUACGCCCACCUUGCUGCCGGGGACGUGCUCUUGAGUUCACGCUCGGGACACGGAGUCGGCGAGGUUACUUUGAGUAAAUUAGAGUGUUCAAAGCAGGCGUACGCUCUGAAUACAUUAGCAUGGAAUAACACGAUAGGACUCUGGCCUAUCUUGUUGGUCUGUAGGACCGGAGUAAUGAUUAAGAGGGACAGUCGGGGGCAUUCGUAUUUCAUUGUCAGAGGUGAAAUUCUUGGAUUUAUGAAAGACGAACUACUGCGAAAGCAUUUGCCAAGGAUGUUUUCAUUAA
Molecule: ribosomal RNA, 377 nt
Filed under: uncultured eukaryote
Lineage: Eukaryota
Description: partial 18S ribosomal RNA
Rfam family: Eukaryotic small subunit ribosomal RNA
Source: RNAcentral